UGCCUAAUACAUUGCAAGUGGGAUCGCAAAGGGAACACACUGUGCUUGCACACCGUGUUUUCUUGAGUCGCGAACGGGUGAGUAACGCGUAGGUAACCUGCCUAUUAGCGGGGGAUAACUAUUGGAAACGAUAGCUAAUACCGCAUAAUAUUGAUUAUUGCAUGAUAAUUGAUUGAAAGAUGCAAGCGCAUCGCUAGUAGAUGGACCUGCGUUGUAUUAGCUAGUUGGUAAGGUAAGAGCUUACCAAGGCGACGAUACAUAGCCGACCUGAGAGGGUGAUCGGCCACACUGGGACUGAGACACGGCCCAGACUCCUACGGGAGGCAGCAGUAGGGAAUCUUCGGCAAUGGACGAAAGUCUGACCGAGCAACGCCGCGUGAGUGAAGAAGGUUUUCGGAUCGUAAAGCUCUGUUGUAAGUCAAGAACGUGUGUGAGAGUGGAA
This 442-nucleotide ribosomal RNA is filed under the name Streptococcus mutans. Its description in RNAcentral is "bacterial SSU rRNA". It matches the Rfam family "Bacterial small subunit ribosomal RNA", at positions 45 to 466 of the family's 1533-position model. Lineage: Bacteria; Bacillati; Bacillota; Bacilli; Lactobacillales; Streptococcaceae. The record is from RNAcentral.